AAGCGCCUGCAUCUCAGGCGCCAUUUCCUCUCUUUUUUCCUUUCCUUCCUUUCUCUGCAUUCUACAAACUUGAAACAAAAACUUUUAGCGUAAGCUUCCAAUGAUUUGAAGCUGUAAUGCCAAACAGGACCUAAAUGAAAUGGCUUCUCUUCACAUAUUGAAAUCCACUCUCUCUCCAAUUUCCCUUGCAGGCCCGUAUUUUCCCGGGAAAUCGGAUUCCAGGAAAGCAAUUCUCAGGUUGAGAAGUUUUAGUGCUGGGAGCUCUAAAAGAUGCUUCCAGAGACUGAAGUUUAGGGUUAACUGUUCAGUACAAGAAGGAGAUAAUAAUACCAAUGGUGAGGAACCACCGGAAUCGUUGUUCAUGAAGGAGCUGAAGAGGAGGGGAAUGACUCCGACUUCAUUGCUUGAGGACACCAAUAGAGGAAGCUAUGGAGUGGAGGAUGAGAUAAAGCUCGGAGAAGAGGAUAGAGGCUUUUCUAAAAGAAACGCUGUUUCAACUGAAUUUGGUCAAAGCCUUUCUAAUCAGAGAGAGCGUUCCAUGGCAUUGAACAGUGAAGGCCUUGAGGGUUUAAUUCCUCGUGCUAAACUUUUGCUUACAACUGGAGCAACCUUCUUUUUGGGAUUUUGGCCAUUGAUUCUCAUAAUUGUGACAUUCUUCUCUGCUCUCUACAUUGUAAGUCCCAUCUCUGUUCUUCGAUUUGUUGCUUGUUUUAAGUUUAUAAACCCGGUGCCUCACUAAAUUAACAGAGCUGUUUUCAUGAGCUAGACACUUGGGGAUUUGGAAAUUGGUAGUGACUAUUAUAUUGGAGUCUGUUUCUUUAGGGAUUAUAGACAUAGAUGUAUUUUAAACCAGGAUUUGAGCGGGUACUUCAACUAUUGUUAUUCUGAUAAUAGGAAUAACUUGGCCAUGAGGUCUACUUGGUGUAUAUUCACCAAGUAGAGACAAGGGUAUAAUUUUUUCAAAUCAUGGUGAGUCAACACGUAUUAAAUGCUAGACAGAGGUCAUGAAUAUGGCAAUCAACAAUGGAAAGGAAUCCAAAAGCAUAGAAUAGAUUGCGCAAUGACAUGACCAGAUUGGUUCCAAUUGAUCUUUGGCUGUUUUGGUUCAAAUCUAAAAUUAUCAUGUUGAAGAUCAAAUGAUCACAUACCAGUUGAUGGCAGGCAUACAAAGUUCUUAGCAAUCUUUUAGUUUGCUAUUUAGCAAUAUUUGGAAAUUGGGAAUUAGACCUCUUCUUCAUUUUUUUAAUAUGUGUUGGCAAAAAUUGAGUUGCAAUUCAACUUCUUGUUGGUAAGGCCUAUAUCUUUGAAAGUUAGGCAGAAUUUGAGUUGGAGAUAUAAAGCUUUUAAAAAUCCAGCUCUUCAUGUGGUCCUGCAAAUGAUUACUUGACCCUCUUAACACUCCAGUUUUUUUAUGUUUCCUGUAUAUUUGCUAAAUAUGUUUCUUUCCUGUUGUGUCAUAUUGCUAUCACAUAAUUUUGUCUUGCCUUUUGUUUCCUGAAAGCCAAUUAUUGAUACGUUUGUUUUUUCCUUGGGCAGUAUUUUGGACCGAAUUUUGUCCAUGAUGCAAGCAAGACGCCUACGUCACCAUAUGUCGAUUGAUCCAUAUGAAUUGCCGGAAGAUGAAAGAAUAUCACAAAUAGCUCCUAGUUUAAAAUGAAGGAGAAAAUAUUUGUAGGAACAUCGAAUUCUUAAAUCUUGCGAAGCAGAUCUCUGUAACUUUCUUUGAAUCCUUGUUAAUUCUUUCCUAUGUAAAUACUUCAUGCCUAUAACAGGCAAGAACAACUCUUAACAGGUUAAUUUUCAGUAUCUUUCAUUGUAUUUUUAAUCCAGUUGCUUGUUUAAUAAGCAUGACUGACUUCACUCUUGUUUAUUUAUGCUGAGCAACGAC
RNAcentral lists this unclassified non-coding RNA (1888 nucleotides) under Hevea brasiliensis (rubber tree). The record is from RNAcentral. Lineage: Eukaryota; Viridiplantae; Streptophyta; Magnoliopsida; Malpighiales; Euphorbiaceae.